UACAGAGGUCCCGAGCGUUGUUCGGAUUUAUUGGGCGUAAAGGGUGCGUAGGCGGCGGAGUAAGUUGGGUGUGAAAUCCCGGGGCUUAACCUCGGAAUUGCAUUCAAUACUGCUUCGCUCGAGUACUGGAGAGGAGGCUGGAAUUUACGGUGUAGCAGUGAAAUGCGUAGAUAUCGUAAGGAAGGCCGGUGGCGAAAGCGAGCCUCUGGACAGUUACUGACGCUGAUGCACGUAGGCCAGGGGAGCAAACGGG
This 253-nucleotide ribosomal RNA is filed under the name uncultured bacterium. RNAcentral's name for it is "partial 16S ribosomal RNA". It matches the Rfam family "Bacterial small subunit ribosomal RNA", at positions 524 to 776 of the family's 1533-position model. The record is from RNAcentral.